This is a non-coding RNA of Podarcis lilfordi (Lilford's wall lizard), 74 nucleotides long. NCBI's taxonomy places the organism in Eukaryota, Metazoa, Chordata, Lepidosauria, Squamata, Lacertidae. The record is from the annotation of a GenBank genome assembly.
GAAAGACUGUAGCUUAGUGGUACAGCAUCUGCCUUUCAUGCAGAAGGCUCCAGGUUCAGUCCAUGGCAUCUUCA